This 583-nucleotide long non-coding RNA is filed under the name Homo sapiens (human). Its description in RNAcentral is "X inactive specific transcript". The stretch from base 174 to 299 matches the Rfam family "X-chromosome inactivation gene exon 4". The record is from RNAcentral. Lineage: Eukaryota; Metazoa; Chordata; Mammalia; Primates; Hominidae.
AGUUGGGCAUGGUGGUACGUGCCUGUAGUCCUACCUACUCUGGAGGCUGAGGCAGCAGGAUUGCUUGAGCCCAGGAGUUCAAGGCUGCAGUGAGCCAUCAUUAGCCACUGCACUCCAGCCUAGGUGGCAGAGCGGGACCCAGUCUCUUAAAAAGAAAGAAAAGCAGAACAUCUUCCUCAGAAGAAUAGGCUUGUUGUUUUACAGUGUUAGUGAUCCAUUCCCUUUGACGAUCCCUAGGUGGAGAUGGGGCAUGAGGAUCCUCCAGGGGAAAAGCUCACUACCACUGGGCAACAACCCUAGGUCAGGAGGUUCUGUCAAGAUACUUUCCUGGUCCCAGAUAGGAAGAUAAAGUCUCAAAAACAACCACCACACGUCAAGCUCUUCAUUGUUCCUAUCUGCCAAAUCAUUAUACUUCCUACAAGCAGUGCAGAGAGCUGAGUCUUCAGCAGGUCCAAGAAAUUUGAACACACUGAAGGAAGUCAGCCUUCCCACCUGAAGAUCAACAUGCCUGGCACUCUAGCACUUGAGGAUAGCUGAAUGAAUGUGUCUUACCCAUUUCCAUGUUUCUCUUGCUAAUUUCUUU